Molecule: ribosomal RNA, 510 nt
Filed under: Xylotrupes australicus
Lineage: Eukaryota; Metazoa; Arthropoda; Insecta; Coleoptera; Scarabaeidae
Description: partial 16S ribosomal RNA
Rfam family: Bacterial large subunit ribosomal RNA
Source: RNAcentral
GUCUUUUUGAUUAUAAUUUAAAGUCUAACCUGCCCAAUGAGGAGUUAAAUGGCCGCGGUAUUUUGACCGUGCAAAGGUAGCAUAAUCAUUAGUUUUUUAAUUGAAAGCUGGUAUGAAUGGUUGGACGAGAAAAUAACUGUCUCGAUUUAAGUUAAAUUAGAAUUUUAUUUAUGAGUAAAAAAGCUUAUAUGAGUUUAAAAGACGAGAAGACCCUAUAGAAUUUAAUAUAUAUACAUAUAUAUUAUUUUUAGAAUUAAUAAUAAGUUAUAUGUAAUUAUAUUUUGUUGGGGUGAUAGAAAAAUUUAAAUAACUUUUUUUAUAUAAAAACAUUAAUGUAUGGGAAAAUGAUCCGUUAAUUACGAUUAUAAGAUUAAAUUACCUUAGGGAUAACAGCGUAAUUUUUUUUUAGAGUUCUUAUCGAAAAAAGAGUUUGCGACCUCGAUGUUGGAUUAAAAUUAACUUUUGGUGUAGGGGCUAAAAGGUUAGGUCUGUUCGACCUUUAAAAUUUUA